This 72-nucleotide transfer RNA is filed under the name Fukomys damarensis (Damara mole-rat). It matches the Rfam family "tRNA". Rfam says of the family: Transfer RNA (tRNA) molecules are approximately 80 nucleotides in length. Their secondary structure includes four short double-helical elements and three loops (D, anti-codon, and T loops). The record is from Rfam by way of RNAcentral. Lineage: Eukaryota; Metazoa; Chordata; Mammalia; Rodentia; Bathyergidae.
UGGGAAGUAGCUCAGUGGCACAGCACCUGCCUGGCAAGUAUGAGAUCCUGAGUUCGAUCCGCAGUAUCCCCU